AAACACAAACCAAACAACGACGCUGGCGGCAUGCCAAUACUGCAAGUCGAGACGAGAUCUUCGGAUCUAGUGGCGCACGGGUGCGUACGCUGGGAAUCUGCCCUUGGGUUCGGAAUAACUUCUGGAAACGGAAGCUAAUACCGGAUGAUGACGUAGGUCCAAAGAUUUAUCGCCCAAGGAUGAGCCCGCGUAGGAUUAGGUAGUUGGUGAGGUAAAGGCUCACCAAGCCGACGAUCCUUAGCUGGUCUGAGAGGAUGAUCAGCCACACUGGGACUGAGACACGGCCCAGACUCCUACGGGAGGCAGCAGUAGGGAAUAUUGGACAAUGGGCGAAAGCCUGAUCCAGCAAUGCCGCGUGAGUGAUGAAGGCCUUAGGGUUGUAAAGCUCUUUUACCCGGGAUGAUAAUGACAGUACCGGGAGAAUAAGCUCCGGCUAACUCCGUGCCAGCAGCCGCGGUAAUACGGAGGGAGUUAGCGUUGUUCGGAAUUACUGGGCGUAAAGCGCACGUAGGCGGCUAUUCAAGUCAGAGGUGAAAGCCCGGGGCUCAAACCCGGAACUGCCUUUGACACUAGAUAGCUUGAAUCCAGGAAAGGUGAGUGGAAUUCCGAGUGUAAAGGUGAAAUUCGUAGAUAUACGGAAGAACACCAGUGGCGAAAGCGGCUCACUGGACUUGGUAUUGACGCCCCGC
Molecule: ribosomal RNA, 689 nt
Filed under: uncultured Sphingomonas sp.
Lineage: Bacteria; Pseudomonadati; Pseudomonadota; Alphaproteobacteria; Sphingomonadales; Sphingomonadaceae
Description: bacterial SSU rRNA
Rfam family: Bacterial small subunit ribosomal RNA
Source: RNAcentral